UCAAAGUUGGUGAGGGCUAUCAGUUUUUUCGAUUGAGAUCUAAUGUAACUGAGAAGUGGUGGAAAAAUAGGUCAUUAAUCAAUGCUGAGCCUGGUGUCAAACAAUCCUGACUUGCUCUGGGGACAAGUCACUGCAACACCAGAGCCAUGUGGGGGAAGUUCCCAGAAUUCUCUUCAAUUUAUUCCUGCCAACACACAGACCAUUAAUUAAAACCUUUCUCUAAAACUUGUUUAUUUUAGCUUUGCUCAUGGGAUCAAGUUUUGUGCUCCUUUACAAUGACAGCAGUACAGUAAACCAAACAAGUCGUAAGUUUGUGGCUAAUCUUUCCUGUUUCUGUACUGAGGGGGAAGCUCUCCAGAAGCUGAUGCCAGGUUGGCUUUUUCAGAGUUAAUGAGCUGCUCUGCUAUGUGUGACACCAGAAGCAAGGUGACUCGUACACAAGUGUAUUAAUCUUCAUGUGAGAAGCUGGUGAGUGCUCCUGCUUGUGCUGGUGCUGCCUUCCAAAGGCUGCCGUGAAGCACCACCUGCUGACAGUCCCUGGGACUUGGAGAAAUGCAAACGGUUGCAAAAUGAUGUUCAGCUUGGAUUAAUGUACAAAAUGCCUGUUGAGAUGUAAUGGUACAGGUGUGGAAGGCAUAGCCUAAAGCAGGAGGAAGUGCUGACUGUGUUGGAAUGAAGAUCUAUGUAAGCUGUUAAACAAUAAUAGAAAACAGUAAAUAAGGAGGCCAUGAUAGUCUUUCCUUGAGCUUUUAUUCCAGCCAAACCGCUAUUAUAAAAUAACUAGCUGCUCUGCUGCUUGGGAUCCUGUCCUGGGGAGUCCCCAGGGGGCUCCAGAACAGCAGAGCUGUGUGUGCUGGCACCUUGCACACACAAACCCCCUUUCUUUGUUCAGAUUAGAAUCAGUUCAACCACAGAGUUUAACCUUGGUUGCUACAGUUAUUUACAGAAAGAGAAUGUUGCUGCAAGCCAACCCUCUAGGUCUAUCUCCAAACAAUAGCAACGAGCUGCAGAACAAGGAAGAAAGGGUUUAAUAAACAAUUCCAAGGCUCUAAGAGUUCUUUUGAUUAAAAAAA
This is a non-coding RNA of Coturnix japonica (Japanese quail), 1073 nucleotides long. Lineage: Eukaryota; Metazoa; Chordata; Aves; Galliformes; Phasianidae. The record is from RefSeq and is a predicted model, not a curated record.